GGCCUUCGGGUGUAAACCUCUUUAGUAGGGAAGAAGCGAAAGUGACGGUACCUACAGAAAAAGCACCGGCUAACUACGUGCCAGCAGCCGCGGUAAUACGUAGGGUGCAAGCGUUGUCCGGGAAUUAUUGGGCGUAAAGAGCUCGUAGGCGGUUUGUCGCGUCUGCUGUGAAAAUCCGAGGCUCAACCUCGGACCUGCAGUGGGUACGGGCAGACUAGAGUGCGGUAGGGGAGAUUGGAAUUCCUGGUGUAGCGGUGGAAUGCGCAGAUAUCAGGAGGAACACCGAUGGCGAAGGCAGAUCUCUGGGCCGUUACUGACGCUGAGGAGCGAAAGCAUGGGGAGCAAACAGGCUUAGAUACCCUGGUAGUCCAUGCCGUAAACGUUGGGAACUAGAUGUGGGGACCAUUCCACGGUCUCCGUGUCGUAGCUAACGCAUUAAGUUCCCCGCCUGGGGAGUACGGCCGCAAGGCUAAAACUCAAAGGAAUUGACGGGGGCCCGCACAAGCGGCGGAGCAUGCGGAUUAAUUCGAUGCAACGCGAAGAACCUUACCAAGGCUUGACAUAUACGAGAACACUGUAGAGAUACAGGACUCUUUGGACACUCGUAUACAGGUGGUGCAUGGUUGUCGUCAGCUCGUGUCGUGAGAUGUUGGGUUAAGUCCCGCAACGAGCGCAACCCUCGUCCUAUGUUGCCAGCACGUAAUGGUGGGAACUCAUGGGAUACUGCCGGGGUCAACUCGGAGGAAGGUGGGGAUGACGUCAAAUCAUCAUGCCCCUUAUGUCUUGGGCUUCACGCAUGCUACAAUGGCCGGUACAAUGGGCUGCAAUACCGCAAGGUGGAGCGAAUCCCAAAAAGCCGGUCUCAGUUCGGAUUGAGGUCUGCAACUCGACCUCAUGAAGUCGGAGUCGCUAGUAAUCGCAGAUCAGCAACGCUGCGGUGAAUACGUUCCCGGGCCUUGUACACACCGCCCGUCAAGUCAUGAAAGUCGGUAACACCCGAAGCCGGUGGCCUAACCUUUUGGAGGGAGCCGUCGAAGGGUGGAAUCGG
RNAcentral lists this ribosomal RNA (1048 nucleotides) under Agrococcus sp. Its description in RNAcentral is "bacterial SSU rRNA". It matches the Rfam family "Bacterial small subunit ribosomal RNA", at positions 413 to 1471 of the family's 1533-position model. The record is from RNAcentral. Lineage: Bacteria; Bacillati; Actinomycetota; Actinomycetes; Micrococcales; Microbacteriaceae.